GACGUAGGGCGCAAGCGUUGUCCGGAUUUAUUGGGCGUAAAGAGCUCGUAGGCGGCCUGUCGCGUCGACUGUGAAAACCCGCAGCUUAACUGCGGGACUGCAGUCGAUACGGGCAGGCUAGAGUUCGGUAGGGGAGACUGGAAUUCCUGGUGUAGCGGUGAAAUGCGCAGAUAUCAGGAGGAACACCGAUGGCGAAGGCAGGUCUCUGGGCCGCAACUGACGCUGAGGAGCGAAAGCAUGGGGAGCGAACAGG
This 253-nucleotide ribosomal RNA is filed under the name uncultured bacterium. RNAcentral's name for it is "partial 16S ribosomal RNA". It matches the Rfam family "Bacterial small subunit ribosomal RNA", at positions 524 to 776 of the family's 1533-position model. The record is from RNAcentral.